GAUGAACGCUGGCGGCGUGCCUAAUACAUGCAAGUCGAGCGAACAGACGAGGAGCUUGCUCCUCUGACGUUAGCGGCGGACGGGUGAGUAACACGUGGAUAACCUACCUAUAAGACUGGGAUAACUUCGGGAAACCGGAGCUAAUACCGGAUAAUAUAUUGAACCGCAUGGUUCAAUAGUGAAAGACGGUUUUGCUGUCACUUAUAGAUGGAUCCGCGCCGCAUUAGCUAGUUGGUAAGGUAACGGCUUACCAAGGCAACGAUGCGUAGCCGACCUGAGAGGGUGAUCGGCCACACUGGAACUGAGACACGGUCCAGACUCCUACGUGAGGCAGCAGUAGGGAAUCUUCCGCAAUGGGCGAAAGCCUGACGGAGCAACGCCGCGUGAGUGAUGAAGGUCUUCGGAUCGUAAAACGCUGUUAUUAGGGAAGAACAAAUGUGUAAGUAACUAUGCACGUCUUGACGGUACCUAAUCAGAAAGCCACGGCUAACUACGUG
RNAcentral lists this ribosomal RNA (497 nucleotides) under uncultured bacterium. RNAcentral's name for it is "partial 16S ribosomal RNA". It matches the Rfam family "Bacterial small subunit ribosomal RNA", at positions 28 to 507 of the family's 1533-position model. The record is from RNAcentral.